RNAcentral lists this ribosomal RNA (346 nucleotides) under uncultured bacterium. RNAcentral describes it as "partial 16S ribosomal RNA". It matches the Rfam family "Bacterial small subunit ribosomal RNA", at positions 338 to 681 of the family's 1533-position model. The record is from RNAcentral.
CCUACGGGUGGCAGCAGUGAGGAAUAUUGGUCAAUGGACGAGAGUCUGAACCAGCCAAGUAGCGUGAAGGAUGACGGCCCUAUGGGUUGUAAACUGCUUUUAUAAAGGAAUAAAACGAGGCACGUGUGCCGGGUUGCAUGUACGGUAUGAAUAAGGAUCGGCUAACUCCGUGCCAGCAGCCGCGGUAAUACGGAGGAUCCGAGCGUUAUCCGGAUUUAUGGGGUUUAAAGGGAGCGUAGAUGGGUUGUUAAGUCAGUUGUGAACGUUGGGGGCUCAACCGGAAAAUUGCAAUUGAUACUGUCAGUCUUGCGUACAGUUGCGGUAGGCGGAAUUCGUGGUGUAGCGG